This 497-nucleotide ribosomal RNA is filed under the name uncultured bacterium. RNAcentral's name for it is "partial 16S ribosomal RNA". It matches the Rfam family "Bacterial small subunit ribosomal RNA", at positions 28 to 507 of the family's 1533-position model. The record is from RNAcentral.
GAUGAACGCUGGCGGCGUGCCUAAUACAUGCAAGUCGAGCGAACAGAUGAGGAGCUUGCUCCUCUGACGUUAGCGGCGGACGGGUGAGUAACACGUGGAUAACCUACCUAUAAGACUGGGAUAACUUCGGGAAACCGGAGCUAAUACCGGAUAAUAUAUUGAACCGCAUGGUUCAAUAGUGAAAGACGGUUUUGCUGUCACUUAUAGAUGGAUCCGCGCCGCAUUAGCUAGUUGGUAAGGUAACGGCUUACCAAGGCAACGAUGCGUAGCCGACCUGAGAGGGUGAUCGGCCACACUGGAACUGAGACACGGUCCAGACUCCUACGGGAGGCAGCAGUAGGGAAUCUUCCGCAAUGGGCGAAAGCUUGACGGAGCAACGCCGCGUGAGUGAUGAAGGUCUUCGGAUCGUAAAACUCUGUUAUUAGGGAAGACCAAAUGUGUAAGUAACUAUGCACGUCUUGACGGUACCUAAUCAGAAAGCCACGGCUAACUACGUG